GAUGAACGCUAGCUACAGGCUUAACACAUGCAAGUCGAGGGGUAACAGGAGAGAAGCUUGUCUUUUCUUGCUGACGACCGGCGCACGGGUGAGUAACGCGUAUCCAACCUUCCCCUUAGUAGAGGAUAGCCCGGCGAAAGUCGAAUUAAUACUCUAUGUUUUCCUUGUUGGGCAUCUUAUGAGGAACAAAGACUCGUCGGUAUGGGAUGGGGAUGCGUCUGAUUAGCUUGUUGGCGGGGUAACGGCCCACCAAGGCUACGAUCAGUAGGGGUUCUGAGAGGAAGGUCCCCCACACUGGUACUGAGACACGGACCAGACUCC
RNAcentral lists this ribosomal RNA (321 nucleotides) under uncultured Prevotella sp. RNAcentral's name for it is "bacterial SSU rRNA". It matches the Rfam family "Bacterial small subunit ribosomal RNA", at positions 28 to 339 of the family's 1533-position model. The record is from RNAcentral. Lineage: Bacteria; Pseudomonadati; Bacteroidota; Bacteroidia; Bacteroidales; Prevotellaceae.